GAAAACAAAAACUCUCCUCAAACUUCAUGAAUCCCAACAACAAUUGAAAAACCUUCUAAAAAUAAAGAUUUCAUUGCGUAGACAUGUCUUUCUUCUAACAAUAACAAAAAAAAAUAGUCUAGAACGGCUCCGCUUGAUUUGGGUCAGUUUAUUUUUAUAAACCAAAGAAUUCCAUAUUCAAAGAAUAGAAUGAAUCCUCGAAUGAACGAGCGUACUUCAAGUGGAUUUCCUGCCACCAGCAGCAACAACACUAACAACACAUGUCUGUGGUAGGCCGGUCGGUCGGCCGCCUAGCUAUGAAUACCAGAACUUAACUACACGCCUGAAUGAAUAUAUUUGGCCCAACAGGCAGACAGACACUGAACAUAUGUUUUGGAAAUUAUAUAAAUAUCGUAAGAAAUUCAGUUCCAUAAUUUAGUACCGACAAAGACAUAGCAACGCAAACAUCACAUUUUCGGCAAAUUGAGGAGAUUUUCUUUUCUUCUAAGCAAAAGGAAAAAAAUCACAAUUCUUAUGAUUUAGAAAUAUUCUUAUAUUCGAAUAUAUGGAACUUGUUGAAAAUCUAAAAUUAAAAGGAUUCUUAAGGAUCAUGACCACUAUUAAUAGGAGAACAUCUAUACCGCAAUCAAUGUCGAGAGGUGUGACGUAAGGAAUAAAUAUAAUAAAGUGAAAACAUCUGCUAUUUAUGUAGACAACCUGGACCUGGAAUAAAUAUUUUACAUAUUUUAUAUUAAGAAAUAUCUGAAAUUCGUAACAAAGAUAAAAAUAAAUACAACAAAUAUACCAAAA
Long non-coding RNA from Musca domestica (house fly), 789 nucleotides. RefSeq lists it as uncharacterized. Lineage: Eukaryota; Metazoa; Arthropoda; Insecta; Diptera; Muscidae. The record is from RefSeq and is a predicted model, not a curated record. The transcript has 2 exons.